AUGAGGAAGCUCAAGUUCCACGAGAAGAAGCUGCUGAAGAAGACCAAUUUCCUCCUGUGGAAGCGGGAGGGCGGCCACCGCGAGGCCGCCGUCACGCAGCGCUACAGCCUCGUCGACAGGGACGACUACAAGAAGUACAACGGGAUUUGCUUGAUGGCGCAGAAGCUCGUGAACAUCAUAAAGCAGAUGGAUCCCAGGGACCCUUUCAGAAUAGAGAUGACGGACAUGCUGAUCGAUAAGCUGUAUAAUAUGGGUGUAAUUCCAACAAAGAAGAGCUUGGUUAAAUGUGAGAAACUUUCAGUGAGCGCCUUCGCCAGGCGGAGACUUGCAACAAUUAUGGUGAAGCUCAAGUUUGCUGAACACCUUAAAGAGGCUGUCACCUACAUUGAACAGGGCCAUGUGCGUGUAGGCCCAGAGACGGUCACCGAUCCUGCCUUCCUUGUGACCAGGAACAUGGAGGACUUCAUCACCUGGGUGGAUUCCUCAAAGAUCAAGAAGAAGAUCAUGGAGUAUAAUGGUGCAUUGGAUGAUUAUGAUGCCAUGAUUUAA
Molecule: ribosomal RNA, 549 nt
Filed under: Triticum aestivum (bread wheat)
Lineage: Eukaryota; Viridiplantae; Streptophyta; Magnoliopsida; Poales; Poaceae
Description: partial small subunit ribosomal RNA
Source: RNAcentral